ACCAAGAAUUGCAUAACGUGAUAGGUGCACGCCAUCUCGUGCAGCUCUUAGUUUAAGACUUCUAGUUUGUACAUCUUGUUCACAAGAAUCAUUUCAGAAACAUGAACUUCCAUAUUCUGAAAAUCAUGCUUGAAAGCACGAUUAACAAUUUUGCAUCCAAACACAUACGGUUCAGAAAAAUUAAAAAAACCAAACUUCCACAUUGACCAAUGUGUACUAACAAAAUCCUUUACUUCUUUUACAAGAUCCUUUUCA
Long non-coding RNA from Rhodamnia argentea, 255 nucleotides. RefSeq lists it as uncharacterized. The record is from RefSeq and is a predicted model, not a curated record. The transcript has 3 exons. Lineage: Eukaryota; Viridiplantae; Streptophyta; Magnoliopsida; Myrtales; Myrtaceae.